Molecule: ribosomal RNA, 496 nt
Filed under: uncultured bacterium
Lineage: Bacteria
Description: partial 16S ribosomal RNA
Rfam family: Bacterial small subunit ribosomal RNA
Source: RNAcentral
AUGAACGCUGGCGGCGUGCCUCAUCCAUGCCAGUCGCGCGAACAGACGAGGAGCUUGCUCCUCUGACGUUAGCGGCGGACGGGUGAGUAACACGUGGAUAACCUACCUAUAAGACUGGGAUAACUUCGGGAAACCGGAGCUAAUACCGGAUAAUAUAUUGAACCGCAUGGUUCAAUAGUGAAAGACGGUUUUGCUGUCACUUAUAGAUGGAUCCGCGCCGCAUUAGCUAGUUGGUAAGGUAACGGCUUACCAAGGCAACGAUGCGUAGCCGACCUGAGAGGGUGAUCGGCCACACUGGAACUGAGACACGGUCCAGACUCCUACGGGAGGCAGCAGUAGGGAAUCUUCCGCAAUGGGCGAAAGCCUGACGGAGCAACGCCGCGUGAGUGAUGAAGGUCUUCGGAUCGUAAAACUCUGUUAUUAGGGAAGAACAAAUGAGUAAGUAACUAUGCACGUCUUGACGGUACCUAAUCAGAAAGCCACGGCUAACUACGUG